GCCGAAAUAGCUCACUUGGGAGAGCGUUAGACUGAAGAUCUAAAUGUCCCUGGUUCAAGCCAGGAUUUUGGCA
This 73-nucleotide transfer RNA is filed under the name Perca flavescens (yellow perch). It matches the Rfam family "tRNA". From Rfam's summary of the family: Transfer RNA (tRNA) molecules are approximately 80 nucleotides in length. Their secondary structure includes four short double-helical elements and three loops (D, anti-codon, and T loops). The record is from Rfam by way of RNAcentral. Lineage: Eukaryota; Metazoa; Chordata; Actinopteri; Perciformes; Percidae.